UUUUUUUUUUUUUUUGAAAGUGAUAGACAUGGAUAAAAAGAUAUACUACUAUUAUCAAUUGGUGGCCUAAGUUUAAUUUUUAGUAAGGUAUACAUACACUUUGAGUGCUUUUGAUAUAAUUGAAGUAUGAAAUCUGAAAUCUAAAACAUGAAUUGUUAAGUUGCUGAAUUGUUAAGUACUGAAAUUUUACAUUUGAGUAUAUCUUACGUUAAGUGAUAAGUGAAUAAUUUAUCACUUAUUGUUUUGAGUAAGUUUUGUCUAAAUAAUUCAGAGUCACGCAAUUAAGAAAGACGUUUUAUUUUUCUAUUAUUAAACACGUCUAAAAAUAUUAAGAUUUGAAUCUAUUAAAUUUAAAUGGUGAAUUGGGUUAUCAAAGACGCCCUUUGUUCUGUUCCAAGAUUUUUUUAGAUAACUGGAAUCCAGUCAAGAGUUUAUGGACUUUCUUUUGAUUGAAUACUGUGACAUGUUCAAGAGUCAUAAUUUUUAAUACAACCAUAAUAAGUUAACAAGUGUUAUGAUAUCUAAUUACUUUUGUGUCGUUUUAAUUUUAUUGUGUAAUGAGAUUCAUGCACACAUAUCUAUUGAAAUAUUCCUCUUCAAUUUGUUAGAUGGAUGCAGAAGAAUUGUGAUUUACAAGUAAAUUUUUUCCCCAAAUGAUGGAUAGUACUCUUAUUAUGGACAUGGACAUAUCCUUUUGUCAACAACAGUUAACACACACAUAGGAUUCUUGCAAUCAAAGGUAACAAAACUUUGUGAUUUUGACCUCGCAAAUCUCCAAUCACAAAUGAAUGGGAUUCUUGCAAUCAAUUCACCUAGGAUUCUUGCAACUCUGCAAUUACAGCUAAGAGUGAGAUAAAUUUGCAAACUAGAUGGCAAAACUUCCGCUGACUUUUCACGUUUGCCAUGUUUUAGCAGGGAUUGGAAAUUGAUGGGAUCUGUGGACCCUUUCCAUGUAGGAUAAGCAAACGUGGGGUCAUGCUGAUCCACCGUUCAGCCGACUUUAGUCGGCUAAUCUCCAUGAAAACUCAUCCAUUUCUGCUCAGACAAAUCUCAUUAGAUCAAAAAAGGUGUUCUGACAAUUCAUUUAGAUUUUUUUUUUAUUAUAGGUGGAGUUCGAAUCUCCCAUUUACGGUUCAAAAAGGGACUCUUUGAAUAGCCAUUGAUGCAAAGCUUAGUGGUUAGCAUCAGCUCUCCUAAUGGGGGCUGUUCCUAUGGAGUGGUGGAGACAGAUCAAUCAAUCUUAUUAAUUCACCAAAAUCAUCUUGAAUGGCAGGAAGCAGUCAAAGAAAAGAGCCCUGAUCAAACGGAGGUUCUACCUGAAUUAAUAUCAAAUGUUUAUGCGUUAAAAGACGGAGAAAUUAGUUGUUUUUAGUCGGUAAUUGUGACAUGAGAAAUUCUAGAUUAAUGCUACUUGAAGAACGUCUAGAGGGAAUCAUGCCAUGACCACCCUUCUGUCACGUUGUCAUCCAGCAAUUCAUUUGAUGACAAAGCAAUCAUUCUAAUAAUCAAGUACGAAUUCAUGGCUUUUGAUUUUAAAUAAUACAACAAUAAAAAAGGAGAAUGAGACUUUUACUUUGAUUUAUGUUUUUGGCGAUGAAAAAUUAAUUGAGACGUCUUACUUACUAAUUAUAGUCGCAUGCAUCAAAUGUUAACCUAGUACUAUUAUUCAGCAGUUGUGAUCUAAGUUUCGUAACUUUUUCAAUUUGUAUGAGAGGGAUUAUACUCAAAAUCGUGUCCACUAACAUUGUGUAGUAACUAUCGACUAGGUUUUCAAUUUAUAGUGACUUUAGUAUUUCGAAUCAAGAUUUAGUUGUAAAUAUUAAGAGUCGAUACUAAAAAUGCGAAUAUAAACAAUGAAUUUAGAACGGGAGAAGCCGAAGACACUGAAUAUUGGGGAAAAAUGAUUUUCAAUUUAAUAUUUUAUAACAAGGAAAAAGAAAAAUAAUAAAAUUUUAUAAAAUAUACAUCACAUUUUUUAGUGUUACUAAACGUUUUAAACAAAAGAAAAGAUUAGAUGAUUUUUUCAUUGAUGUUAAAAUGGAAAACAGGAAAACCAUCGAAAUAGUCAACAAUCUUCUUUAGCCGAGCCCGUCGUCAUAAAUGUAUAUUAAUGGUUUGAACCAGAAUUGGAACCUUUGAUUAUGGUAUUGGUCCUUUUUUUUUUUUUGGAACUAAACCUUUACUUAGAGUUAGCUUAGUCAAGUAAUUUCUUUUUGAAAAAAAAAAAAACUUUUGAAAAGCAAGGACUUGGGAUUUGGGAAGGUGGAAAUAGGAAUGUGAAAUCCCACCCCCUAAAAAAAAAAAAGAAAAGAAAAGAGGAAGAGAAGUUAGAAAGAAAAAAAAACGAAGGCAAGGAACAUUCCAUAGAGCAAACCGUGAUCAAUUGGAACAGUUAAUAACGGAAAAAGAUUCUCUAUUUGGAUUGACCUAUUUUUCAAAAACUAAUUUUUCAAAUACAAUAUUUCAAUAAUGUACAAACAAAAAAAUAACUCAAAAAAUAUAUGAUUCAUACAAUAUAUCAAAAACAACUCACAAAUAUACACAAAAAAUUAAAAAAAAAAUAAAUUUUACAACAUUUUUCACCUAUCACCAUCACCAACCACCCACUAUCACCACCACUCCCUCCCUCCUCCUUUCUCCCCUCUUCCCCUUCCCUCUUCCUCCUCCCCACCCCCAGAUUGAGGCCUCUAGUCAUGACCAGUUCGUGACCGAAAGGUCACAACUUUUUGGUCAUGAUCUGGAGACCAAAGGCCUCUAUCUUGUCGAGACUAGAUCAAGAUCGAGAGGGAGAGGAGGGGCCGACGGGUGAGGUGAAGGGAAGAGGAGGAGGAAGAGAAAAGGGGAGGAGGAAAAUGAAGAAGGUAGUGGCGGUGGUGGGUGGGUAGAGAUAGUGGCUGUGGUGGUUGUGGGUAGUAGUAUUAAUUUUUAAAAAUAUGAUAAAAAUAUUUUAUUUUUAAAAGUUACUCCAAAAUAUAUUUCAAAAACCCUUCAAAAAAAUUACAAAAAUUACAGUAAAAGUUUUUUAUAUACAUUUCUAUAAUAAAAUAUUUCAAAAACACCCCAAAAAAUAGUUAAUCCAAACGGAGCCAACCGACAGUGAUAGAUUUGUAGUUUAUUAUGAAGAUAAACGAUUGUAAUUAAAAAACAAAGAUAAACGAUUGUUCCGCACUUCUUUUUUUCUUUAUUAUUAUUAUGUUGGAAGACUUGGUUUAAGAAUAAUGAGGUGUGUAUAUUUAGAGAAAUAACUAAACUUUUCUAUUGUGUAACGCCACUUUGGAAACUCUGAAAACAAUAUCAUAAUAAACUUUUUUCUUUAAUUCGAUUUUUUGUAUUUUAAAGUUUUUUUUCUUCUUCAAAGAUUUUAAACUUGCACCGACAACAAGGACAUGUCUAAAUGAUUUACAUCCAUUUCAAACAAGAAUUAGAGGAUACACGAUCGUGCGCACAGACUAUAUAUAUAUGUGUGUGUGUGUGUGUGUGCACUUAAUUAAAUUACCUAUUUUUUCUCUUAUAUUGGCAUACCUAAUUAAGAAAAGAUAAAAUUAAUGGGUCAUUUGAAUGCUUGGUUUUUACCCAUAUUUGUAUUGAACUCUUUUCAAGUUUAGUUUUUCUUACACUUUCUCUCUUAUGGUUCUCCUCGCUUCUAAUACUAUUAUCUUUUUGUUAAAUAGGUAUAAUUUUUUGUCAAUAUGGAUUAACUUUACCUAGUGUCAAGAAAAAUUUAUUUAUUGUGACUUGAACUGCUACGCUAAAUAAUUAAUUUUAUUGAUCAAAAUUGAUUAUUUGUUCAUGAGAAAAUGAAUUGUCAAAUUUUUUAUAUUUAAUUGAGUUCAAAUAUGUAGUUCUAGGUUUAUGGUCAUUAUAAAAAUUCUAAUUAUCUCAAAGAAUAUCUAUUUGAUUUGUCAGCAUGCAUUGUAGUAUUUGUUGAAUAUGAUAUUUUCUACAUUUAAUAUCACUGAAAUGUAGGAAUUUUGUCAAUGACAUUCAUACUUGUACAAAUUCACAAGUAAUAAAAAAAAGUGCUAAGGUGUAGGCUAAAUUCUAGUACUGUAGUCAACAUAUACUAACAAAAUCAUCAAUUAAAGAAUAGCACUAAUUCUUUUAUCUCUGUCUGUCUAUGUAGAUGUAGCAGGAAAAAAAAGCACAUUACUGGAGUUUGUCAUUAAAUCAAAUGUUUUCAAAAACAUAAUUUCAUGUAGGGAAGAAAUAAGUAGGUAAGUUUAGGAAAGAGUUGAAUUGGAUGGUAAGAUGAAAGAGAUUGUAAAUAGGACGUUUUGGAUUCAAAACCUUGACUUAUCAAAAAAAAAAAAAAGCUAACAAAAUGUAGGCGAGUCGACAAAUAAUCUAGGGUCCUGGCAAUGAAACGUCUAUUAGCUGACAUUUUCAUACUUGGACAAGGCAUAUAAAUUAGUAAGCUGCUCAGGCUUGAUAUAUAUAUAGGCAAUAAUAUAAACAUGAAUUUACACGUAUUAACAUAGUGAAUUAAUUUUUUUACACAAGUUCUUACGGGAAAGUAUAAAAGACAACUGUAAAGAAACACAACUCGAUAAAAUUGUUCGAGUUGUCUCUUCAAUUAUCAUGUCAACCACUACAUGGGGCAUUUGGUUGGCUUUUAUUCAUUAAACUGCAACUUGUAUUGAAAACGUGGUGAGAGAGUCGUCACAUGUUUCAAAAAAUGAAAAAAAAUCAGCAAAUAGAAGAAAUAGCAAUCGGUCUGGUUAAGUGAAAACGUGAUCCACAUUCGAUUUGAAUUUUUACCAUGAGAAGGAAAAUCAGUAACUUGUUCCCUUUUCUCCAUUGCAGAUUAUCACUACUCUAUAAAUACUUCAGGGUUUUUUACAAGUAACGCAACAAGAAACCGAGCAGUUUUUGCAUAACUUCUGAUGAUGUCGGGCAUGAGGGUUUUGAUCUUACAAGUUGUCGUCUUUCUUCUUUUGGGUGGUCUUUUACCUACCCAAGCUUUGAUCCAUAGAUAUAAGUUCGUGGUAAGUAUAAACUUAUUCUGUUUUAUUAGGAAGGUUACAAAUUACAUAUAAUGGCAUCCGAGGUAUCUUGAAUAUCCUUUGACUAGCCACCUAACCAGAAGUUUAUCUUUUCUUCUUUUCAUUUUUAUUUUUUUAACUUUUAAAAUUUUACUCUCUUACCCUUCUUUAAAAUAGCUUCCAGAGUUGCUACAUUAGUCCCAACUCCCAGUAAAAAGAUCACUAAUGAAGUUUGGCUUGCAUUUUCAGCUUUUGUAAUAUUAUCUUGCUUUGUAUACACAGGUAAAAGAAGCUCCAUAUACAAAACUAUGCAGCACCAAGAACAUUUUGACAGUAAAUGGUCAAUUUCCUGGACCAACUCUACGCCUUCGUCAAGGAGAUACAGCCUUUGUUCAUGUACACAACAAGGGAAAAGAAAGCAUCACCAUUCACUGGUAUGAUAAUUUUCUUCAUCUUUUCUUGGUCUCAAUAUUACGUGUUCUAAGAGAAGAUAAAGAGCUUAACUUUCUUUCCAGGCAUGGAGUAAAGCAGCCAAGAUUUCCAUGGUCAGAUGGUCCAGAGUAUAUUACGCAGUGCCCUAUGAGGCCAGGAACAAAUUUCACCCAAAAGAUUGUGCUGUCUGAUGAGAUUGGAACGUUGUGGUGGCAUGCUCACAGUGACUGGUCUCGAGCAACAGUUCAUGGUUUACUUGUUGUUUAUCCAAAGAAAGGGACUAGUUACCCAUUGGGGUUUCCAAAGCUUCAAGCAGAAGUGCCCAUGAUUUUAGGUAUAAUGGAAUUCAAAUCAUCUGCUGAGCGCUAAUAUUGAACUGGUCAAUAUAUGUGUGAUUGCCAAUCUUAAGCUGCCUCCUUUGCAAAAAAGUUAAAACAAGAAAAGGAAAGAUUCACCCAUUUAUAUGUUGAAAAACCUGUUAUUUUAACUCUGACUUAGUGCCAGUUUUACAUAAAGGAUCACUACAUUACUAGCGACAUUUUGAAAUUGCAUCUGUGAUUUGAAACUCGACAGAAUAGUGACUCGACCAAGCUCAAGAAUUGGAGCUCUUUCGAUCAUUUUGGCCAAGACCAAAAAACUAGAGAAUUGAAUGACCUCAUAGAAUUGAAUGAGCUCUUUCGACUAAACCAGAAAGUCAGAUCUGAGUUUCAAAACAUUGUAUGGAACGCUGUAAUGCACACCAUUGACUUCCAUAUAGGACAAAAUAAUUUGUUCAUGUAUUCAAGAAAUGGACACCUAAUUAUCUAAAGUGUUGAGAAUGGUGCAGGAGAAUGGUGGAAAAGUGAUAUACAGGAGGUUCUUAGCGAGUUUUCAAGCAGCGGGGGAGAACCAAAUGUCUCUGAUGCUUUCCUAAUAAACGGUCAACCUGGUCUUCUGUAUCCAUGCUCAAGACAAGGUAAACAAGAAUGGAAAUUGAACUCCUUUUCUCCCAUCUUCUUAUUGAAUUUCAUAAGAUCGAUCACAUUCUAUAGUAGCAUGACAUAUUUAUCCAAAUUCUACACUUGUAGUGAGAUAUAAUGUACAUAAUCUUUACUUGCAGACAGUUACAAGUUGACUGUGGAUUAUGGCAAGACUUACUUACUUCGAAUGGUUAAUGCUGCCAUGAACAACAUUCUUUUCUUUUCCGUAGCAAAGCAUCGGAUUACUGUUGUGGGAUCAGACGGAAGCUACACAAAGCCUUUAAAUAGUGGUUACAUUGCAAUAUCCCCCGGCCAAACCAUUGAUUUCCUGCUACAUGCCAAUCAAUCACCUAAUCUCUACUACAUGGCUGCUAAAGCUUAUAAUAGUGCCAGCUCUGUUACAUUCGACAACACAACCACCACAGCCAUUCUCGAAUACCGUGGAAAUUAUACUCCACCUUCAUCUCCAUCUUUCCCAAAUCUUCCGACUUUUAAUGAUACAAUUGCAUCAGCUAAUUUCACAGGGAGCCUUAGAAGCUUAGCGAGUAAAGAAUUCCCUGUUGAUGUCCCAAAAAAUGUUACCACUAAUCUUUUCUUUACACUCUCCAUAAAGUCACUUCCUUGUGAAACAAAUAACACCUGCAAGGGACCUCGAGGCAAUCGAUUCGCGGCAAGUGUAAAUAACAUGAGCUUUGUCAGCCCGAAGAUUGACAUACUUCAGGCUUACUAUAAUCAGAUCAAUGGAGUGUAUAAACCUAAUUUUCCUAGCUUCCCACCUUUGGUAUUCAAUUACACUGCAAGUAACAUUUCGGUUUCCCUACAAACGCCUACUCGAACAACCAAAGUGAAGGUUCUUGAGUAUAACUCGCAUGUGGAGCUUGUUUACCAAGCCACUAAUUUGGUAGCAGGAGUUGAUCAUCCCAUGCAUUUACAUGGACAUAGUUUUUAUGUUGUUGGAUGGGGAUUUGGAACCUUUGACAAGGACAAAGACCCUAAGAACUAUAACCUUGAGGACCCUCCUUUGAUGAAUACAAUUGCAGUUCCGAAGAAUGCCUGGACAGCCAUAAGAUUCAAGGCAAAUAACCCUGGUAAGCGUUAUAUUUAUUAUUAUUUUUUAUCAAGGAUAUUAGUUCUCAGUAAAACUUUGCAAAAAAAAAAAAUCAAACGCCUGCUUACCCCAUUUUUAUACCUAGCUACAGUCAUCACAAUGAAAGCAUGAGUUAGCGAGAUAUCAAUGUGUCCAUCUAGUUCUGAGUUUUUUUAAUUUCUGAUAUGUAUUCUGUUGAUCAUAUCGUUUUUUUAAAUUAACUUCGCUCAGGUCUCUGUAAAAUUAUGCAAAGCUGGUAUUUCUUGGGUGAUAAAUUCAUAAUCAUAGGAAUUUUCCACUCUUUUCAUUGUCAAAGAACAAUAAUUGAUGGAAAUCAAUUUUUGCACAGGCACACACUAUAUAUAUAUAUAUAUAUAUAUAUAUAUAUAUAUAUAUAUAUAUAUAUAUAUAUAUAUAUAUAUAUAUAUGUAAUAUGUAAUUGCAUCUCAUAAUUAAAAUUUGUGUACUUAUUGCAACUAUUAUAAUUGGAAAGGACAUACAAUCUCUUGCAGGAGUGUGGUUGAUGCAUUGCCAUCUUGAACGUCACAUAAGCUGGGGGAUGGAAAUGACCUUCAUUGUUAAAAAUGGAAAGCGUCCGCAGGAAAAAUUGCUGCCUCCACCUCCCGACAUGCCACUUUGCUAAUGUUGCUUAGACAAAGUAUUACAAGUCUUGGACUACUACGGUUUGCAGCGGCUCUAAAGUCAGCUUGUCAAUGAGGCACAAAAAUAAUGUAAACCUAGUUUCUUUCUUUAGUAUUUGCGAGUAAUCUUAAGUAGAUGGUGUGACUUCAGUCUCGUGAAUAAUAGUUUUUGGCACCUUCAAGAAUGAUACAAAAAAAAAAAGAAGAAAUAAAUCCAUGCAUCAAAUGUAGGAUGUAAUAUGUUACUAAAGAAAAAAAAAGGCUUAGUACGUUAUUUAAGUUCCUUUUUUUUGUUUAUGUUUGCUUACAUUUUGAAUGAAGUCAUGUUUACACUUGAUUGUGUAAUUCAUUGUGUUUCAAAUAGGGUGGUAAUUAUUAAUACAAAAGAACCUUCAGUUAUCUUUAGUUAUAUUUGUAUAAUGAUGACAAUAAGUAUAAAACAAAAAACUUCCUAACUAUCUACCCAGAGUUGCUAAAAAAAUAUUAAUAAAGUGAAAAUAUUAAUCUUGGUUCAGCAUUAAAACUUUAUUGCAAUUAUUGUGCUAAAUUCAUAUGAAAAUUUUUGGAUUCUACUCCAAUUUUAUUCUUGCAAAGAUUUCAAAUGAAAUUUUACUGAUUAUAUAAAGUUAUGGCAUUAUGAUGUGUUGAAGAAAAUUAUGAGAUUUUAAAAAUUACAAUAGUAGUCAUUCAAUAUUUUCAUAUUUUGCCUCCAUUUUGACUGCAGUAGUCUUAAUUCUCAUUCAAAGCGAAGUAGUAUAUAUAUUUUUUAUAUGUUAACAAUUAGACUUUUUGAUAUUAAGUGAAAAUCAGUCUAUUUAAAGUAUUAAUCUUUCCCACUAAAAUGGUAUUUUUUUGUCACUCUGUAAUAGAUGAUAAAUUGGUCAUUUCAUCAAUUACUUGGAUGAAAUUAAAUUUUGUAUUAUGUUUUAGUUGAUUGUGUACAGUGCCCAUUAAGAUACUUUAGGGUGUAAACGCAACUACUCUAAUAGUUCGUGGGACUUUUAUGCAAUUAACCCCAUAAUCUAAUCAAAUGAUACCCGAUCUUUUCAGAUUUUAUUCGGGCCGACUACGCACACGAUCUGACGUAUCUGGACUAACGGAUAGAAAGCUGGAAAUUGGACUUAAUUCGCAUCCCUGCGCUAACUCAAAACCCAAUUCUACCCACAACCGUGACAAUGAGCCCAACUACAGAGUCUCAAAAUCCAAUACCAAUAAGCCCAAGAUUUGCACUAAUUUGAUGUAUCCAGCCUCAAUCAGCAAAGAAAGUUCCACAGCCAAGAGAAUGAAAUAUAUUACGAAUGGGUUGAUUUUUAAAAAUAAUUUUUUAGAUUCAUGUUAAUGCGUGAUGUUGAUGAAGUGAAAAAGAAAAGUACUUUUUCUUUAUCUAAAUCUUUUGUGUCCAGAAUGAAAUAUUCUCCUUUUUCAUGGAGAAAAGUUUGCACAGUAUCUGAAUUUUUUUUUCCUGAUGACACUUCCAUAUUAGUGGCGUUCAGCAAUAAUUGGUGAUUUAGAUUAUUAAGGAAAUGGAGAAAAAAAAUUUCCAAUUUGACGUUAAUGCUGUUUCUUUUGCUUGUUUAUAAGCCUAAUAGAAAAAAAAAAAAGUUUAUCAGGCGAACAUUUGUGCAAAGUUGCAACAAGUUUAGCACUUAUUUCUAGCCCCAGUGACAUACUUGUCUUAUUUUACAUAUAUGUUCGUGGACGAAAUGCAGCCUAAUUCGUAAGACAAUUUACCUAUACUUAAGAGAUCUUGAGUUUGAGCCAUCAAAAAGAUAAGUGAAGAACUACUAGGUCCACUACUGAUCCAUGGAUUCUUUCAAAAACAAAUAAGCAAAAAAAAAAAAAAAUGAUUUAAGGAACGUGGGGGAAUUUGCACGCAUAAUAAAAAUCUAGAUGCGAGCUGCAUCUGGACGGUCUUCACCUGCAUAACAAGAAUUCUAAUUAUUCUAUACUAUUGCAGCUUGCUUGCACAGAAAUUGCCUUGCAACUUGCUUGCCCGAACAAUUGCAUAGAAAUUGCCUAUAAAAGUGCAAUAUACGUAAUCACGGUCUUAAUGAUUUUGUCGGGCUGCUGACCUUUCGAUUAAAUUAGUGACAUUGCAAAUAUCUUGUGUUGUGUUAGUCCUCGGACUACUUAAUUACAACUCACUUUGGGCAAAUGUGGCGUGUGUUACUUCAUUUUUUGUUAGGUUCAUAAUCAGGAAAUUAUGUUCCACAUUGAUUUUAAAAGUGGAGAAAUUACGCUUAGUAUGUAAAUGAGGGUUCAAGACCUAACAAUUUAAACAUUUGGAUUAACGUUAAGUUCCUAACUUACGUAUUGGACCUCUUUAACAAGUGACUUAAUAUGUAAUUAAAAUGUAAGUAAGAGUUCGGAACCCAACAAGUUAAACUCUUGGCUCAAGAUAAUCUUUUGGACGAAUUUAACACUUAAGUAAGUAAGAAUUUGAAACCUAAUCAUUUAAACUUUUGAAUCAACGUUGGGAAUCUUUUGGACUAACACUGAAUUCCUAACUUGUAUAUUGCACCUCUUUUAGUGUUUCUUCCUAACAGUACUUUAGUUAUCUUUACGAAGCCAAGGCAAUGUUCUUGACUUACAGAUUGCACCUCUUUGAGUGUUUCAUCCUAACAAUUUUUGAGUUAUUUUUACGAAGCCAAGGUCGGAGAACGCAGACAAGAAGCUGUAAGGUCGGAGAAUGCAGACAAAAAGCUGUAAUUGAGAGAAUCAGUAGGUGAACCAAAAGACCAUACUACUGAAGCUCUCGUCCCAAAUAGAAUGAUUUUUAAGGGCGUCCCAUUUGCUGAGACUGUUACCGAUUUUUUGGUUGGAAAGUAGUCAAAAGCAUGCUUCUAGUCAAGCAGUUCACACAAAAAUUUCUCAGCAACUCGGUUUACAAUUUAAAAACUGAUCACAUGUUAUUUUCUAUAGUGUUGUUUCAAAAAAAAAAUGAAGAAUAAGAAGAAGAAGAAGAAAGAAAGAAAGUAUUGAACUCAUAUUGCUGUGGAACUGGAUUAGACCUUUUCCUCAUCUUUAGGUCCAACGAAUUUGUACAAUCUGAUUUAUACAUUUUUAUUACUAGUUUGUGCACCCCGGUGAAUAAAAAAGUUUAAGCUUCACCUUCUACCAAUUCAACGUUCUAAUUUGAACUCAGUUAUACUUUAAUCAGCAAUUUUUAUAUCUCAAGUUGAAAGCCAUUCAAAAGGAUGACAUGUAAUCAAAAUUGAAGGAAAUAAUUUUGACACGAAAGCAAUGGCGUGUCUAAGGUGUUUUGACCACAUUUUUCCUUCAUUACGAAAGAUUGAAAGAUUCAAGAUUGGGAGCAAAGAGAGUUGGAUUCAGUCCUGCUUAUCUGUUUAGUCAUACUGACCCAAAAUUGACAUGUAGUUAGAUUCAGGAUUUACCAUAUACUAGGAGAAUUAAUAUUGUACAAUGAGACACCAAUUUUAUAUACUACGAUAAAUUAGGAUGCACAGACGCAUGAGUUAUAGACAAAAUGUUCGCAUGUAUUCACGAGUCUUCAACUUCAUAUAUAUUAAAACCUCUUUAGCUGAAGACUAGAUUAUGCCGUCUUCAGUGGUGAUCCCCGAAUCUUUGUUGCUUAAUAUAAAAUGCAGUUGUCACUCUCUAAACUUAAAGCUUGUUAAAGCGAGUUUGUUUAAGCUAUUGAUUUGAACUUUGAGCUAUUUGAAAGUUUCCAUGCUUUUGGAGGCAGCUGAUAAAUUGAUUUUCAAAAGCAAGAGUUCAUCUUAAAUUUCGCCUCUACUACGAGGGAAAAUCUAAUGAAAUCUUCUGUGAUGAUGACAAUCGAAGUAACCACAACCAGGCGUGCAAGUUCCAGCUGGUUUAAACUUGCUUUUGGUAUAUAUAUAUAUAACGCACUUUACAAUCCCACUAGUAUUUGGCAAAAUUCCUCUUUGUCGACCAUUUUGCUUAAUUGGAAAAUGAUAUGAAAAUUCUAGCCUGUAUUUUAGAAGACAAACUACGAAAUUUUGGAGAAAAAAUAGCUCAUUUUGUCUGUGGUGGAGGAUCAUGGGCGUGAAUGUGUGUUAAGUUUUUCCCACAACAAUUGUAAAAGGGGCAAGAUGCUUGGUUAUAAGUAAAAGAAAAAGCCCCAUGCUUUGAGUUAGCUUUUGGGGUGAGAAGCACCCAACACUGAUAUCAAAAUCUGAUUAUAAUGCCUCCUUCCAAUAGACACUCAGAUGAAAUAUUGAUUUGUCCCUAUCCAGUACUCGUCGGAUGAUAGAUUGAUGAUAUGAUCAAACUUAAGGGCCCGAUGCGCGAGGGAAAAGCUAGCCUCAUCCCUUAAGCUAGUUUUUUCCAGUAAAGACUCGGAUAAAAUGUUGCUCAUCGGAUAAAAGAUUGAUGUGAUUCCAACCUAGUACUCGUCGGAUGAAAAGUUGGUGCUGUUCGAACCAAAGGCCCAAUGUAUAAGGGGGAGACUAUUGAGUUUAUCCCACUGGGAUGGGAAGGUCUAAUAGCACCCAACAUUGGUAUCAAAACCUAGUUAUGCCAACUCCCCCAAUAAACACUUAGAUGAAAUAUCGCUCGUUGGAUAAAAGGUUGAUGUUGUCCCAAUCUAGUACCUAUCUAAUGAAAGGUUGAUGCUAUUUCAACCUAGGACUUGAUGUGUGAGGGAAAAAUUAUUGAAUUUAUCCCACAUCAAUUGCAAAAGGAAUAGGAUGCUUAAUUAUCAAUGAGAGGAAAAACUUCACUCCUUGAACUAGUUUUUAGGGUAGGAAGGCCCAAUAGUACCUAACACUAGUAUCAAAGUCCAGUUACGAUGACUACCUCAGUCAACACUCUCGGAUCAGCCCAUGGAAAGAUUGUGAUAGGAUGGGAAGAUUGUUGAGCUUACCUUAUCGUCAGAUGAUAGGUUGAGAUAGGAUGUUUAGUUAUAAGUGUAAGAUACCUGUUGGAUGAUAGGUUGAUGAUCUGAUCCAAUCUAAGGUCCAAUAUAUGAGAGGGGAGAUUAUUGAGUUUAUCCAUAUAGCUAAGGUCCGAUGUAUGAGAGGGGAAAAUGUUGAAUUUUAUCUGAGGGGUGUGGCUUUUCCUUACACUACCACUUCGAUAGCUGAUAUACGAUAAAGUCAACAAUCUCCCCCUUAUAGCUUAACAAUCUCCCCCUUAUCCUACCUAAAGUCAACAGUCUUCCCCUUAUCCCAUCUACCCCUUCUAUAAUCGAUAUCGGAUAAAGUCAACUAUCUCUCUCUUAUCCCUCAACAAUCUCUCCCUUAUUUCACAUCGGUUAUGGAAAGGGUGAGACUUUUUUUCACACUUAUAACUAAGCACACAUUUCCCACAUCAAUCCCUCUCUCUUAUCCCACAUUGGUUAUGGAGGUGAGAGUUUCUCUCGCACUAAUAACCAAGUUCUCUUAUCCCUCAACAAUUCCCCCCUUAUUCGACAUCAGUUAUGAAAACUGUGAGACCUUCUCUCGCACUUAUAACCAAGCACCCUAAUCCCUCAACAAUCUUUCCCUCUCCUUGUCCCACAUUGGUUAUGAAAGGGAUGAGAUUUUCCUCACAUUAAUAACCAAGUUCAUGGAAUGAGUAAGACUUUCCCUCACACUAAGAAUCAAGUUCCAUUAUCCUACAUUGGUUAUGAAAGAGGUGAACCUUUCCCGUACACUAAUAACUAAAGCACCUUUCUCUCACACUAUCCCACAUCGGUUAUAGAGGGAGUGAGACUUUUCCACACACUAAUAACCAAGCUUUAUGGAAGGGGUGAGACUUUCCCUCAUACUAAUAACCAAGUUCAUGGAAGAGGUGAGACUUUCCCUCACACUAAUAACCAAGUUCCCUUAUCCCACAUCGUUAUGGAAGAGGUGAAUCUUUUUCUUACACUAAUAACCAAGCACAUUUCCCUCACACUAUCUCACAUCGGUUAUAGAAGGGUUGAGACUUUCCCAUAUUGAUUAUAGAAGGGAUGAAACUUUCCCUCAUACUAAUAGCCAAGUACCCUGCUUCUUUUUUUCACAACCGAUAUGAGAUAACGAUAUGAGAUAAAUUUAACAAUCUUCUUUUCACAAUCGAUAUGGGAUAAACUCAAUAAUCUUCCCCUCACAACUGAUAUGGGAUAACAAUACGAGAUAAAUUUAACAAUCUUUUCCUCACACAUUGGACAAUUUUUCAUCCAAGUAUCUACAGGAGAGUUGUCUUAACUAGGUUUCGAUACCAGUGUUGGGUGCUAUUAGACCUUCUCAACCCCAAAGCAGUUCAAAGGGUGAGCCAAACUUUGACACCACAGUUGGGUGUUAUUGGCCCUUCUCACCCUAAAAGCAGUUCAAAGAGUGAGGCUUUCCCUCACACUUAUAACCAAGGACCUGUGCUUUUCACAACUAAUUUGCGAUAAACUCAACAAUGCGUAACCAAUGGAAAGCAAGAUUUUCAGCUGGGGUUUAAAUGGACGUUUAUGGUCAUGGUAAUAGGGCACCAAUCAAUUGAUUAAUUCAAUAACUAAUGUUAAUGGGAUGCCAAUACGACAUUUAUUCUAGGGGCUAAAAAACCUUAAUUGAAUUAAGAGAAAGAAAUGUUAAGAUUCCAGCAGAGUGUGUAUGGUCUGGAUAAAGUCGGCCGUUCCAACUAUUCAGUAACGCUGGUCCCAUUUGUUGUUGUUGUUAUGGUUGAUUUUUCUUUUUAAAAAAAUGCAUGCUGGUCCCAUUUGUGAUGAACUGUAAUCAUUGUGUUCUUUCUUAAAAUUGAUAUUUGUGAAAAACUAUGGCAUGUAUUAUGAUUGUCAAUUCUCUGCUCUAUACAAUACUCUUAGAGAUAGCUGUCACCAAAUUUGAAAUAUAUAUAUAUAUAUAUGUGCGCGCAGACACACAUACGCAUACAUAGAAUUGUGUUGUCCUUGUUCUCGUCCUCGUCACGAUAAUCAGAAAGAGGUAGGAAAGUGUUUGGAUAAAGAGACUUGUAAAAAGAUCAAAAGAAGGGACAUAAAAAAACAAACAUGCGUUGAAAAAAAGAACAAAUGCCGGAAACUAACAACACCAAUACCUGAUAAUGUUGUUGAUGGUAGAUAAAUUCAUUGUACAUCAUGAAGGAUUCAGUUAACAUCUGAGAGGCGGUAACAAGAGACAAUUCGGUGAAUGGUUAAUUGGUGGCUCUACCGGAGGCCCUCAAUCCAAAAUAAUGUCUGUUUUUUCCAUGAACGCCUGGCCAGUAGACCUUCAAGCAAGAGGCUUAGGCGUUUCAAUUAAGAAAGGCAAGUUGGGAUUACUAAAGGUACAAGCCAAAUCACACACAUAAAUAAACAGAAGUAUAUAGUCAUAUGUAGGGUUGAUAUGCCAUCUACUCUCGCAUGCAAAACAAUUGAUGAUUGCAUGACGAUUUGACUAGACAAUUUGUUUACUAUGAAUUAUAUGUGAAUUCGAUGUGCAAUUGUUUGUUGUCAAAUGUAAAACAACAUAUCAGAACAGUAUCAAAUGGUUUCUAUUCUUUCGGAAUCAGAAGGCUGAGGCUUUGAGCACGAUUUAAUUAGCUUAAUUAGCAGCAAUGCUAGAAUGCAACCUGACCGCAUGCGUCCAAAUUAUGAGUUCACUAUAGGCAGACCUAACCAAGAUGAUUCUUUUAACAAUAUAAAAGAACUGCAAGUAGCUUUAAUUACUAUAGAUAGUAUUGCAAGAAUGUUGUAUUGACCCUUUCCAACGAUUGAUAAUUAACUAUGUACUUGCAUAAUUAUGUAUGUACAUAAUUAACAAUGUAGUAGCUUUUGACUAUAUACGUACAUAAUUGUAUCCAUGAAAAGCAAAUACCCAUCUACUGCCUUAAUAAGGAUGUCAAUAAGAAUUCUCCCAAGUACAUAAUUAACUAUCAGGCUGUGGGAUUGGUCACAACUCGUUUUAAACAAACUCGUGCAUCUUUGGUUCCCUCUACUUGGGAGAGAAUUCUUGUUGACAUCCUUAAGUAAUAAUGGCACUCCCUUCUAUCUUUUCGAUUAUGUCAAGUAGACAAAAAAUAUUUCUAUCCUUAAUUCCAUUUAGAACUAUUACUGUUUUAUCAAGUUGUGACUAAACCAGAAGUGAUGGUAUCUUUUAUGUUCAAAAGAAUAGAAAAAAUUAUGGCUUUUGUCAUAAACAAACAAACAAACAGACAAAUAUGGGAGUGUCAACUAAACUUCCCAGAAAGUGUACCAAACAUUUGCAAUUUAACAUGUGCUCAUCAUUCUUGAGCCGCCAUGGAUUAAGUGGAAAACAAGUCACUGGGCAGAAGUUGAAGUCGUUUUAGUUAAAUCCUUUUCAAGUCAGGAAUUUCAAUUUUUAACUCAUAAUAUAGUACCGUGUAAUUGACCGACCAGCACAAAUUUUCUUAGUCAACAUGGGAAUUAAGUCAAGUUGAAGCAAAUACAAGUCCGGAAUGAGUGGCUUCUGAAGAUGAGUUGAUGAUGAAGCCAGAAGAAGCAGCACAUAGUUUCUGUAUAAGUUAAUGGCUGCGUGACUUAUUCUGCCACUCACGACAUUUCUCCUUUGCAGAAGAGUUUUUUUUUUCCCACUUAUGUUCCUCAUUGAAUUGACCCUAAUAAUAAUAUAUUCCAGACAUAUUUCACUAUCCCAUUGUCCUCUUUCCCUUCCACCAAAAAGAAUCAAUUAUGUGUUAAUCGAAGCCCUCUAACUAUUUUGUUCUAAUAAAAAAUUUCACACAGGUACAAUCCACAAGUGGAAAUAUUUUUUGUUUAACCCGUUUAAAAUAUGUUUAGAACCAGAGACUUAGUCCACGAAUGGGAGUUUGUUUAAUGAGAUUCCUGUUUAGUUAGGAAUCCUCCAAGAAGCAAAUCGAAGAGGGAACUAAAGAAAAGGAAUUACUCCUAAAAUAUGGUACAUCCGCUAGCAUAUACCAUGAAAAAGUAGAUCGUCUGUGAGUAGUAUUUUGAUUUGUACAUCCAAGUGCAUGUAGUAGUGGAUAACUUUUGCAUUACUAGCAUAGAAUGAUAUUGCGAAGUAGUUACUCUUAACUUUUACAGUUUGAACAAGAGUGCUGUUGAAGGAUCCUUGACUAGGAAACCCUGAGUGGUACACUUGUCGCACGUUUUAUUGGGUACAAGUACAACAUAAGGUUUACGAAUACAUAUUUUUCCACAGCAAAACUAUCACAAAGAACAAGAAAGGAGUACAGAAACAGUAGAAUCACCCUAACAGGCACCGAACUAGUUCAAUACAAAUAUUGGAAACCAUACGAGGAUAAUUAAAUUAGGUCAAUAAUGCACCAUUUCUUGGAACAACCACAGCUGAGAGUGGCUUCUUCAUCUCACUUGACAGCUUCAAUACCUCAGUCAAAUCAACUGGCUGAGCUUCAUUGUUCUGAGCCAACAUGAAAUUCUGCACCAAUUUAGCCACCCAAAGGCUCACAGUCGCAAGUCCUAGGUUCUUCCCUGGACAAACCCUACGGCCUGCUCCAAAUGGUGCAAGCCUAAGGUCAUUUCCUCUCACGUCCAAAUUUACACCACCAGCCCAUGGUAUGAACCUCUCCGGCUUGAACAUCCAUGGCUCAUCCCACACCUGAGGGUCAUGUGUUAUAGCCCACAUGUUAACCAUGGCAACUGUGUUGGCUGGUAUGACCAUCCCAUUGCUCAGGUGGACAUCAUCCGUCGAUAAACGGGCCCACGACAUAAGGGGUCCUGGUGGAUGCAGCCUCAGAGUCUCUUUGAUCACAGCCUGAAGGUAGGGUAGCUUAGCCACGUCUGCAUCUGUGACACUUUUAUCUCCCAAAACAUUUUUCAGCUCAUUGUAAAGAUAGGUUUGGACUUGAGGGUGCAAAACUAAUUCUGCCAUGAUCCACUCAGUUAGAAGUGCAGUAGUGUCUGUGCCCCGAAAAAUCAUUUCCUGUAAAUCAUGUACAUCAACAGGCAGCUAAAUAGUCACUUGGCUAAGUGCCGAAGAAUAAAAUUUUGUUUCUUUUGUGUUGGUCACCAGCAAAAGAAUCGAAUUCUUGAAACCAUACCUUAGGAACCAAAAAUAAAUUACAUUUAGUCUAAUGCAAAUACUGCAACAACCCAACCUACCUAAUCAGUCCUAAAAAGGUUAAGUUUUAUUUUCUUUUAAGAAAGGUCAUUUUCAGCGUGCUCUGGUGCAAAAGUCCAGGUAUAUACUGUCGAAAUUCGUUAAGAGAUAGAAAGUUAUUUCCCAGGAAGACCUUCAUGAUCCCUUUAGAAAAUUGUUUGCCAGUUGGCAUUUAAUUGGCAUGAAAGAAAUAAUUUACAUUAUCAAACAGAAAAAAUGGCAUGCCAUCUAGUAGUGGUAAAGAGAAUUGAAAUGCAUUUACUAACCCAUAGAACAGCGACCAUAUCAUCUUCAUCAAGCUUUUCUUCACCUUCUAGAGAGAGCAAAACAUCGACAAAAUCAGAAUCAUCGGAGACCUCAGACGACUUCCCAACGCGAUGUUCUUCAAUAAUCUUUUUAACAAGUUUUCUAACCCGAAUGACAAGAGCUGAACAACGUUGUUGAAUGCGAAAAGGGUCAUAAAAAUUUUUCAACCAGGGCAAAUGAUCAGACCAAUUGAAUUCUCCCAAGAGCUCAAACCCUUCUCUGACCAUUUCAUGCAAUUCUUGAGCCUCUUCACUAAGUGAUGUCGUUUCAUACCUUUUACCAAACACAAUUUCCAUUAUAUUGUUUAAGGAAGCUACUUGUAGGUAUUUUCUAAGGCUUACAAACCCUUGCAUGGUUUGCUCCUUGGAAAUGGCCCUUAACAUAGCUGCGCAUUCUAGCUGACGUCCAGCUUCAUGGGCUAAUAUGCGCUUGGGUGCAAAGAGGUGAGAUGAGGCAAUUUUCCUCAAAAGCCUCCAGUAGGCUCCAUUGGGAGCGAAACCGAUGGCUCGGCUAAACAUGAGCUGCUUAGCCGACUGUUUUAUGGGACGGCUGGAGAAGUGGGGUGAGGUCAAGAUCUCACGAGCCGUUCGUGGUUCGGAAGCCACUACGACGGGAGUUGAUCCCAAGCUGAACGCCAUGAGUUGACUUGCACCAUGGCUUGAAGCCAUGCAUGCAAGAGUUCGGUGAGCCAAGCCGUGGCUCAAGUUGAAUAAGCUGCCUAUAAUUGGAAGGCCCCUGGGUCCGGGGAUUGGAACUUGGCCUAACUCGUUCCGGCCAGCUCUCCAUGCAGGCCCUCCAGAAGAGAAAGCCCAAGCAAUGAGCCCUGCAGCUAGGAAGAACAUGGCAGUAGAGAACAAAAUCCAAAUGUUGCAUAAGUUCUGGGAUUCAAGAAUUGCUGGGAGUGUAAAGAACACCCACCAAUUAUCCUCCGAGACUGAUGAAAAAUCCAUGUUUUUUGGUUGGUUUGAAUGAUGGAGUGGAAACGAAGAGAGUUUAAUAUGGAAUGGAAGAGGAUUUGUGGAAGGAAGAUUGCGAGGAUGAAGUGAAAGGAAUAAGGCGGCAGUGCUGCUUAAAUAGGAGGCAUGUCGUGUAGUGGGAAGCAAUUUGAAUGGUUAAAAUAUUAGUACCAUGGCUUUUAUUUUUGUUUUCAUUUUUUUUGGAAGAAAGGGUUUUUUUUUUUUGGGUGGGAGGAGGACUGAGGAGUGGUAUGGUGCUCAAAAUUGACUCAAAUGACGUCCAAGCACACAUUGGACGGACCAUUAAGCGAAUGGCUGUGUUUGAAGUAUUGUUUACUCGGCCUUCGUCUCACCUAAAUGAGUUUGUAUUUGACCUUCCCUCAUACUUUACAAAUACCUCUUCACUUACUGAUCACUUCUAUACUUGGCAGAAUACCCAGGAACAAGUUUUUAUGUUUUCUUAUUCUUAAUAUUUAAUCUUGAUCUUGUGCAAACCUAUGAUGCCAACAUCUUAUAGAAUACUGCAAUUUGGUAAAACUAAAGCACAAAGAAUUUGUCAAAUAAUGAUAGAAUUCAGGAAAAACUCAGUUGGAAACAGUCAGCUAAGCAGAGUCAAGAGCGAAAGGGAAAGAACAUUAGACAGUGAAAGAAAAGCACGCCCAAAAAAAAGGAUCACAUAGCUAUCAUGAGACAUAAAAACUAAAAAAUUAAUGCCUCAAAAGGAACUACAUGCCAAGUAUCUUCUUAAUCUUUUCCAUGGACGGAUCAUCUAAUUACCUGUGAAAACCUCUGUUAGAAAGAGUCUACGGAGCAGAGUCACUAGAAAAUGGGAAGAAGUAACACAGGCAGUGGAAAGAAAAGGAGUACAUUGGCGAUCAAAAAAUGUGAGACAAAAGUUUAUGCCUCAAAUGUAAUUAUUUGCAAAGUAGUAAUUUCUUAAUCAUUUCCUAGGAUGGAUCAACUAAAAUAUUCCGUUCUUGAAAACUGACAAUUUUCUUGGUAAGUUCACAUUUAGAUGUAUACAUUCAGCAUCCAAAACGAUUGGAUUACUGAGUAUUUAGAAUAGUGAAUAAUGUGUGCCGGCUCUUUCCUAGUGAAGUACACACCACAGACACAUCUCUUUCCUUGCUUACAUCGAUGAUCUGCCGUCAAGACACGAGCAUUAGCAUUUUCUUUCUAAGAUGUAUUUCUGAAAGAAUUUAUCUACUAUUAGUUUUCUAUUUCCAGUUGGCUAGCCUAGGAUAAGAUGGAAAAGCAUUCCAAUGGGAAGUCCAUUAUCACCCUCUCAAAAGCUAGCUAGCAUGGUGAGCUGUGUAAUGGUUGACGGCACUGUCAUUAACAAUUGCAUGGAACUCUCUCAAUCAACUAAUUGGUUGUAUUUAAUCGCGUUUGGUUUGCUUGAUUAGUUUGAUUUACCUUGUUAAUGAUGCUUUUUUGCUCUUAAUUACCACUACACUGUCCAUGGAGUUGGAGACUCGAAAAUCUUGAAGAGACGAUGAUAACACUUAAAAUUACUAUUUGGUUUUCAACAAAGUCACUGGACAUUAAUUUCAAUAUUGGCAAUCAUUUAGUCAUAUUUAUUUACAUAAAUAUCUUAACAUGCAUGAAAACUUUCUUUAAUAAUCUGGUCUAUCUCUCAUACACACACACAUGCACGCACGCACACAUUAAUUUAGGACCUCAAAGGGAAGAAAUUAAGCCAAACCCUUGAUGAAAAUAGAUACACAUCUUAUUGAUUUAAGAGGAUAGACCAUUAAUUUCAUUUUAAUAUUUUGAGAAGAAUUAUUCGCAUUAUUUCCAGCAUGAAGUGAGGGAAUAAUAUUCCGUGGCAAAUAAUUUCUUAGAAAAUCCCACCCUACUUUAAUAACUUAGAUCAACGUUUCAAAUACUGGGAUGUACGGACUAAAUUUGAUCAAAAACUGUACACAACUAAGUUUAAUGCGAGCAAAUGGCAUGAAUAAUGGAUAAUUAAUUAACAUAAAUAGAAAAUUUCUAAAAGAAUGAUAAUAAAAAUUGUAGAUAAUAGAGAGCUAGCUGUGAGUUAUAUCAUGACUUUCCGGUAGAGGAUGAAAUAUAGGAAUCUUUUCCACUAAUUGUGGAGCUAAUUUUUGUCUAUGGUCUUUGCGAACAAUAGAAAAUGAGUUUUCCUGUAGACAGACAGCUGUGGAAAAAGAAACAUAUAGUUAAAUAUACAUCUUUCUUGUCUAAAUGAAGCCAAACGAAGAAUGAGGUGCCUUUUCCUUAAAAUGAUGCUUAUUCACUGUCACACACGCACGCACACGCACAAGUACCUCUGCAUGCACAAAAUGGCAUAAAUAAACUGCCAAAUCCUAAUAUUAAUUCAAUUACUAUCCUUUUGCUCAGAGAAAUGCAGCCAAGCCAGUGUACAGUAAUUAAGAACUGAGGAAAUUUGUCGGUGUGUAUUUUCACAUUAAUCUACCUAUUGCGUGGCAAAUAAUUAAGGUAUUAACAUCCGAAGACUUUGCAGGCUGAAGAGACUCGAUUAAUUAGAGAUAUUUUGGUGCAACUAUGGAUAUCGAUAUGAACCCUAGGUAUGAUCAGGUCGGAUUACUGGUAAACACAGUACAGCUAAUUGCUAAUCACCAAGAAAGUUUAGGCACCGACCCCUUCGAACUUUGAAUGUCACAGUACCCGUUGUGUUUAACCAGCUUCCUUGUUUCCUUAAUUAAUUUGACCGGUUGAUGAUUGGAUAUAAACCUGUCUACUGUCUUGAAGAAGGCAGAUACAGCAAUUAAUUUUUGUUAUAGCCAUCACAGAAUAAAGAAGUAAUUAACUAAUGGGCGCACUGAAUAAGAAGUGGGUCUAGUCACUAGUGUUAUUUUUUCUGUGGAAAAAAAAUUCUAGUGAAAGUAUUGCAAUUCAGAGGGGCGGCGGGUGGUAGUUUUAAAGUAUCCAUAAUUAAUCCACUUUCUUUUUUUUAGUGUGCUUAUCAUAAUUGAGCCAUUUAAGGUGCAGUAUUCGGCUACUUCACCUAGUAGUGUAAUGCUUGUAUUGAAAUUUUUAAGAGAUGAAAUCUAAAAAGAAGUUUUUUAACAUGUGCUCAAUGGGCAUUCGUUAACAUAUUUGAAUUUCACCAAACUGAUCAUGUGUAUACACGUAUUAAUAAUUAUUACUUCCCAUUAUAUUUAUACAUACCUGAAGUAUAUCUUGAUAAUUGUCAAAUGGGUACCCGUUAGACAUAACCAUCUAAAAAUUAGUUACCUUUUAACGCCCUAUGAGGUAACGAUUAAAUUGAUGACCAAAUGCAAAAUAAAAUAGGAGGUUUCGAGGGUUUGGAUCGUCUCCUCCCAAGGAAAUCAAUUACAUCACCUAAUUUUGUUCACAGGAUACUUGUUCAGACAUUAUGACUAAAAUGUGUGUGUGUUUUUUGGUUAUCCUGCGUUGUAUAAUCUUUAAGUGAUCUACUGAUCUCUGUUGUGGUCUCGUAUAGUGGUGGCUAGAAACAAAUGGAGGCAGACUACUGAGCUGAACUAAAAAGAAAGCAAAGGUAUUUGCAGAUCUUUUGCAGGAACUUAAAAGUAGCAAGUUGAUUAGUCCAACGAAGAAUAGUAAUCCCCAGCAAUCUAGGCAGCACAACACUUUCCACCCCGUUAAUUACUCUCCUUUUACUAAUAAUUGUCCUCAUAAACAUUCAUCCGAAAGCACAGAAGAUCACACGAUCGAGCGUUUCAUCAAUCUCAACCACGCAAUCAGCACUUCACGCAAGCGCGCGCACACACAUUUACAAUUCCAAAGUUAGAUCCCUAACCUAAUACACAAAGUUUAUCGUCAAAAUCAAUGUGUGUGUGCGUGCGGUUUGGCGGGAAGCCAGGAGGGUGGGUGGGGUGAUUAAUUUGCAUAAUCCCAAUUAAACUCUCCAAAUCCAUAUGCCGAAUUCGUAUCUUGCUUACGAGGCUUCUCGUUGUUGAUGCAAGUGUUCGCCUGACCUCCAUUCAUUGUUGCAUUUUCACAAGGUUAAUAAUUUAGUAAUCUCGAAGAUUUGACACUAAUCAUGCUAGGUCACUGAUUUGCGCCGCCGUCCUAUUUUGUUCUGCGAGCCUACGCUAGGAGCUGCACCGGGCUAAUUGGUUAAACGAGUCUGAAAUUAUUAAGUACGAAAGUCAAAGAGAUUUUGAAAAAUUUUAUGCAACUAUAAUGUUGUUUAUUAUAGUUUUUGUUAAAUUUUGUGAAUGUUUGUUGUCUUGGGUGUCUUGCAUUUCCGGCUGCAACUGUUAAUCGUUGGUCGACCGUUGACAUGCAUGCCCAUGCACGCCCGUUUAGGUCGCUUAGUAAGAAGCAAGAAGCAAAAAAGGCGCCUUGACGUUCUAUAUCACAUUAUGUUUGGUCAUAUGCACGAGGGGGCAUUGUCAAAACGAGGCAACAACCAAAAAGAGCCUUGAUGUUUACUACUAAUACAAAGUGGAUCGGAGGUUCACAAGUUGAAUUCUGUUCAUUUCAAAGCGUUUCGUGUAAUUCUUAUUAUAUUGAGUAUAAAUUCGUACUAUUUUAUUAUAAUUAUCAUUUUAAUUAUACAAAUUGACACAUUUAAAUUUAUGCUUGACACUCAAAUGGUAUGAGUUUCUACUAAAAGUUGUAAGAAUCUCACAAAUUUAUUGAAUUCAACAGAACUCAACUUCUGAGACCUGAAUUGUACUCUCUCCGUCCCAUUUUGAUAGUCCUAGUUUUUUUCUCACACAGUUUAAGAAAAAGUAGUUAAUUUUGUUAGAAAAAUAAAUGCAAGUUGCUAUUUUUCUAAAAUACCCUUAUAUUAAACAGAGUACAACUUUAUAUUUAUGGUUUAUGGGAACUUGAAUUGAUGGUCAAGAAGAAUCAAUUCUCAUUCGUAUAUCAAUAUGUUUUGGAAAAUAUAAAUGUAUUAAAUGGGGUAGGUUAUAUUCAAUAACAAUCUAUAUUAAAUAAGGUAGUUUAUACUAAUAACAACCUACAUUGAAUAAGGGUAUUUUAGAGAAAUUUAAAAAUAAUUACAUUCUUCAACUGAACUACAAUUUAGGACAAAUGAAAACAGGACUAUCAAAGUGGGACGGAGGGAGUAGUAAGUUUAUUUAUGGUGUUUGACGCAAAUGGCAGAUAAGCAAUAGGUUGGGGCUUGGGAGAUACUCAAGGAAACUCGAUUUAUGGGUGCACUUGCAAAUUAUUGCAUAUGAUGUGGUCUAUACACGGUAAAAUAGUCAUUGUAAUUUAUGAUAAUGUAAAAGAAAAAUAUGAUAUGUCAUGUAUAUGAUAUAAAAAAAUUAUGUUAUUUUGAAAUAAUGAUCAACCAUCACAAUCAUAAAUCAGUCUCUACCCAAGUAUUAACCCUUGUGGUCUUGGAGAAGUUCAAUUUGGAUCUUGACAUUUGGUCAUGCGUGCAAGAGUGUCUAUGGUAAUGCAAGUAGUUGUGUUUGCAGUACAAUCAAAUUUACCAGUAUAUCAUAGUCACGAGUAUCCUGUCAAAUUGGUUAGCCGAACCAAUAUACAUAUAUAUAUACACACACACACACUACCAAAGGAAUUUUUUCUCAUCGUCAACUUUAUUCGAGCGCAAAACCAUGGUUGUAAUUGGUGGAAAGCAUGUUGCCUAGCCAAUCAAUUUCUUGCCAUGAUGGGGAAGAAGCUAUUCUUUAGUUCAUCUUUGAUCGUUGCAUGAAGCUCUAUCUUUGAUCGGCCUAUGGGUGUGUAGGAAUAAAAUUUUGUCUGAAUAUAUAGUAAUUUGCUUAUCAUCUGUUGAACAUGCAUGAAAAGAAUGACAAAUAUCUCUUACAAAUGGUUCCACAUCUUGCAACAAUUAAUAAAUUGCAUUAUCAUCAAAGCGUGGUUGCAGACUCUAUCUACCGAGUGAUCAGUUCUGAUAACGAAUGAUAAAAUCUUAUUAAAAUUCGUAACACAUUAAUACAGUCACCUAUUUUAUUUUCUCAUCAACUCUGUCCAAGAUUACUAGCAGUAGACAUAUGACAGGACAUCUCAUAUAGAAUUAGGUUUUAUCAUUUUUGAGAUUAUCUAUUACAGUUAAGAGGUCUUAUAAGAAGACCACAUUAUCAUAAAACAUUAAUUAAUUUGCCCUGUGCAACAGUUGGUGAGAGUCGAUCUUCACAUUCACUAUCUCCUCACUUAAAGAACUGAUUUGCGCAUGUAACUAGUUGCUUAAUUGCUUAUUAAUUUGUAGAUCUUUCUGUUCUUGUCGCCUCCAUAAUUAGGUAUGUUGGGAAUACAAAACAAUAACUGAUCAAAGAAGACAAUGAGUAAUCUUCAAGAAAGAGUACGAUGCUAACUUGUAUAGAAGAUGUUAGAAGCAAAUUCUCAACCAAAAAAAAAAAAAAGAUUACAAGUAUUUCUAUGCGUUGAAGAUUUACAAUAUUACCUUUUGUUUAAAUAUACAAAGAGUACUGUAUAAUAGGAAUUCUUCCGAUAAUUUUGCUGUUGCAAGGUAUUUUAUUUCAUAUCUUAUUAAACAUUUUAUGUUUUAUUUGGUAGAAUUCUCGUGUUUCUGUCUUACAUCAAUGUACUUAGACCAUUAUUUACAAUUUGAACUAAAAUGGCUAGCCGGCCACAAACUAAAAAUUUUAGCUUCAUUCCCAUCAAUGAUUAAGCAUAAUUAAAUACUUUCUCAUGUAAGACAUAAUUUUUCUUGCCUUGCAGCAAUUUCUGUAGGUACUUAAUUUUCUGAAUGCCGUCAUCCUUCCCGUCUACUCUUGCUUUCUUCUUCAAGUAUGGUCUCUUUGUUUUCCACCACCAAAAGCACCAAACUUCUUUUACGAAAACCGACAAAUUGCUAGUGCCAUAUGAAAGAAUUCUUUUGCAUGACUUCUUUUUAUAUAUUGGAACAACAGAAUUUCUUGAUGGAGAACGUAAAAAAAUCAGCAAAAAGAAUUGGCUGAAGAAACUUUGGAGCAGAUUGCCCCAGUGCAAUUUGCGAAGUGACAAGUCUAGCAUGUCUUGCAAAAGCAUGCGCUACAUUAUUACAUAUGAAAGAAUUUCGUACGAAUUAAUCUACCUUUAGGGUCUGUUUGGUUGGAAGUAAAAUGUUUUCCUUGGAAAAAUAUUUUUCGUGGAAGUAAUUUUCCAUAAAAAUCAUUUCCCUUCCAUCAUUUUCAGGUGUUUGAUUAGCUUAUUGAAAAUAUUUUCUUACUUCAUUUUUCUGGUGUUUGUUUAACUUUUGAAAUAUUUUCACUUUUAUCUCUAUCUUUACUUUCUACACAUUAUAACUACAUACUUCUUCCCAUGCAAAAUAAGAAAAUUUAUCUCAUUGUUUAACUUUAAAAAAUCUUGGAGAAAUGUAUAUAUGAAUAAAAAAUAUCUCCUUAAGCAAUAAACAAAUUGCUGGCCAUUUAGUGUCAAAUAUCAAUCACAUGCAAUGCUUAUUAUGACAUAUAUCUUGCACUCUCACUGCUGAAAGUUUCUCUAGAAAAGAAUGUCCCUAUUAUACAUAAUUAAUUAUUAGCAUAGGAUGAGCAGGAUGAGAUUUUUUUUUUAUUUUGAAUAUACUAGGGGGACGGUUGGGUUGGGUUGGGUUGGGUUGGGUGGCACGGGGGAGGGAGUGUAAGGAAGAGCUCUUGGGUUCGAGUCCUCCUGUUUACACUAAAAAAAAAAAAGAACAUACUACAAGAUGUUUUCAGUAAGUUUGGAACAUACUACAGGAGGGAUGCAUGCAUUUCGGAAAACAACUUCAAUAAGUUUAGAAGGGAAGUUGUUUUCCAUAAGAUGAGUGAAAAUAUUUUACAUAGGAAAAUGUUUUUAGUAACUUUUGUGCAACCAAACACGGGAAAUUAGGAAAAUAUUUUCCUGGAAAACAUUUUCACCCGAAACAAACGGACCCUUAAUGUGAAAUACCUGCGGUCGAGAAUUGAGGAAAUCACUAGUAUAUAUCUACUUUUUUUUCUUCUUUUCUUUUCUUGUUUUUCAUAAGAAGAUCAACUGCGAUUCUUUAUUUACUUCUCGAUGACUCGAAUUCAUGACCUAUUGUGAAGCGUCUUACCAUAUAGGUUGCAUUUCAUUGUACGUCCACUAGUUAUCUAUUGAUCAGAAAUUAGAGAGGGGUGAUUUAAAUAAAAAAAAAAAUGGCCAAACGUAAGAACUCUAACUUUUGAAUUUUAUUAAAACACCGACUGAAACUACUAGAUGGAGGGGACACAGGCCUUACACUCGAACAAAUCAAGGACCAUAUAAAAUGAUUCACUAGAUUAAUAUUACAGCUUACAAUUAAUGGGAUUGCUUAUAAAAUAAUGACCAGUAUUUAUCCAGCCCAUUGGACUCCUAAAAUUAGUAAUGGGCUACUUGGAAAAUUGGAUUGUUUUAAGUUUGGUCUGAAUUGAUUUGCAAAAAUUGCAUUAGACAAAAAAGUAUCUUACACUCAAAAGUUUUUAAAAAAUCAAAGAAAUUAUUAUUAUCAUUUAUCAAAAAUACUAAUAAUAAGGAAAAACAUUUUAACGAAUCAUAAUCAAACUUGAAAGUGGAUAUAACGGAUAGCAAUUUACCAUAACACAAAGGCAGAUAAAGAUUGCACAGAACAUUUCAAUUGAGGCCAUGUAUGGUGUACGGGCAGAUGCUUGAACAAACACCAUGAGCCGCAAUUCCGCAAAUUUGAAACCAUAUUUGUCGCUUCAAAUGGUAAUCAGUUCCGGCCUUUUCAAGUUGGUCUUGACCCCGCUUCACCGGGCUUGAACAAUGAAGCUCUCGUGCUCAAAUUCGAGUUCGUACUUAAUCUAGUUCGAAUAAAAUGAAAGCUAAUUAUAUAUUUUUUUUCAAAUGAAUAAAAUAGGUAUUUUACUGUAAUAAAUAUAAAAGCACAAGGGACUUGCAUUGUAACUUCACAACGAAUAAAAAUUUAUAAAAAAUAUAUAUAUUAGAUUGAUCCGGUUUGACGAAUCAAUGAAUCGAAUAUUGAUAUUCAGUCUCAAUUUGGCAAGUCGAAUCGAGUUUUGACCGAUCAGUUUGCAAGCGAUCGCAAUGCAGCACUAAGUACGGUAUAAAAUUUCAUCUAGAUUGUUUGUUGCAUCAGAUUUCUUACUUGAAGUAUUGAAUUGAAUAACUUUUCACACAAAUUCAAUUCUAAGUAACCUAAAUUACUCGUACACAAUACAUGUGCUAAUAUGCCUACGAAAGUUCAUGACAUUUUUAUCCGUUAAAACCAUACAUGCCAAGCGCACAUGCACAAUCUUGACAUAGAAAAUGUAAGAUAGAUAUUUAUUUCAUCGAAUCCAAUGGUUCAAGACAGGAAUUGCUGCAAAAACAGUUCAUGGCGACCAAUCUAACACAAGGGAAAUGUUCAAGGUGACAAAUUGCAGUUUCUCAAUCAGAUAUGAAGCACGGAUUGACAAUCUUGACAACUAAAACACAACUUCAAUAGGCUCAAACCCCUUGUCAAUAGAAGCCUUAACUGCAUCAAUAACAGCCUGUGUCUUUCUACUGAUGUUUGGCCAUUUCUUCUCAGGCUUUGAACCAUGUAAUUUUAUACCACCAACCAAAGAAGAGAACUCCUUCACCAUCAGGGCUUCCUGAGGAAGAUCCGUUCCCACAAUAUGCUCAUUAGGAGAAGGAUCACACCCUAUAGCGAGCUCAACAAACUUGGAAUUUGAAGUCACAUAAAAUGGUGCAGCACUUUCUUGGUAUGGAAUGACAAAAUCAUGAACCCGAAGAUUUCCAUUUGUUCCAAGAACUGUGAUGUCCAUUGUCAAGUUGGUGAUGAAAGAACAAUAGAAAGUUGCAACUUUUCCAUCUUCCCAGCGCAAGGAUGCACCACAGGACAAGAUCACGCCUGCUUCAUUGAAUUCAGGAUCAGGCAAAGCUGUUACAGUUUUAGGGAGUUCGUAUUCUGCAGCCCACAGAAUUGCCCUAGUGCAAUACCAGCCAGUGUCACCCAAAGCACCAAGUGCAUCAAGAUCAGGUUUUACUCUGAUAUCAUUCUUGAGAAAUUCAGGGCCCUCAACGUAUGAGAAAAUGCUGUGGACCUGUUGAAAUUAUGAGAACACUAACAUCUAUAUAUUAAAAAAAAAAAAAAAAAAAGGUAGUCCAAUGGGCACUCCAAUAGUCUUACAAAACAAAAAAGGAACAUUAGCAUCUGAAAAAAGGUUGUCCAAUAGUCUAAUUUAAGCUUUUAAUUAGGCAACCACCGUAUAUUGUCAAUUCCACUAUUGGUCGCAUUGUUGCUUUUGAAUUCCCAUUAUUGGUCCUUUUGUUGCUUUUCACCCAAUGUGGUACGUAUUCAUUGAGUGAACCUAUGCAUCAAGAACAAGGACUAUUUUAUAUCAGUACCAAAAAAGUCAUGGCUUAAAAACUCCAAUUCUUGUAGUUACAUCAACAAUUAGGCAAUAAUUCAUUCGUGAACUCUUGUAUAACAUGUAUACGUCUUUAAAAGAUCACAUCCAGCUUGAUUAAAUUUGGAUUGGAAGGACUAAAUAAUCAAAGAAGAAAAAAAAAACAUGUAAAUGGUAUCAAUGAUCCACUUUUUGGUUCAAAUUAAAACUACAAAUUCAAUACAACAAGCGAGAAAAAAUUUGGCUGCUGUUCAUGCCCCAGUCUAAUUUUAUUUCCCAUGGUAAUUUUUUGCACAAAAUUGCCUAACUUGCCCUUCACAAAUCCAGUGCAGUUUACAUUAAAAGAUUUUUUUUGGUUAUUUUAACAAAAGUUUAUGCAAAAAUAAAGUGCGGGCUAUGGCAAUAUCAUGAUAGAAAGAACAAAAUUAAACACGCAAAAAGGAAAGAAAAAAUUCAAAAAGAGGAGGAAAAAAUUUUAAAAAAAAAAUUACCGCCUUGAGCUGACCGAAUUUUUGAGGAUCAGAGAGAAAUUCCCUCAUCUGAGUGGUGCGUGGAUGGUGCAUCCACAUGGUAGCAUCCAUGAACUGCACCCCACUCGAUUCACAGGCCUCAAGAAUUAUAUCCAGCUCCUUCACGUUCAGCGCCACCGGCUUAUCCAAAAGCACGUGUUUCUUCUUUUGAGCCGCCAAAACAGCCCAGCGCAAGUGUAAGCUCGUAGGCAGCGGAAUAUAGACCGCUUCCACGUCCGGAUCGUCCAACACACCGUCGUAGCUUCCAUACACCUUGGCGGAAGCCGGGAAGCCGUUCUCUCUUGCGAAGCUUAUGGCUUUCUCCAGUGAACGGCUCCCAAUAGCUACAAUAGUUGAGUUUGGAGCCAGAGUUAUGGCUCGAGAUAGUUUUCUUGCUAUCUUUGCACAGCCUAAGAUUCCAAAACGAACCGGCGGCUCGGCCAUUUUUUCCGAAUCUGUGCUUCUUUUUUUUCCCCCCUUUUUAAUAGCUGUAGGCUGUGUGAAUUUAGAUUACUCUCAGGCUCAGCCAGCAUCCAUUGAAGCUUUAUAUAGUUGUCGUAGUUUUGCUACAAGUAGAGGGCUUCAAGUCAUCGGUCGCAGGUCUAGCCGUGGCAAUUCAGUCACUUCACUAAGACUCUUCUACGUGGAAAAUGUUGCAUUGAUUGGCUCACUAUGUAAUUAAUGUACUAGUAUUUUUUUUUUUUGUUUUUUGUGACAUUAUAUGGCAGGAGUAGGAGUUGUUUUGCUAAAAAUAGUGCAUUUGUUUCAUCCAAUGAUAGUUCAAUAUCCAUCGAUUCGUUCAAUGAUGGUUCAGACCUUGUUUGAAAAAAAAAGUUUCAUCAAAAAAAUGUCUACAUCUUUUGUAAACAUAUUUUUCAAUCACAUAAAUAUGGGAGAAGGGACCAACCGACCAAGUUCAAGUGGACCAACAGGGACUUCACCAGAAGAGGGGAAAGAUCUGACUGAAACUUAUAACAAACUAGAUUUGAGGAUAACCAUUUCAUUAAUUGGCAUGGUUUGGUUCUUUUCAAAAUUUGGGAUCAUCUUCCUCUUUUGAUUCUAUGGGUAACUAGAGAGAAAACAAGACCUGAGAGCCAUCCAAGUUUGUGAAAGAUCUCCUCGCCUACAGUGAGAAAAAUUAGGGAAAAAGAGAGGUGAGAAUAAAUCCCAAGAUUAGUGCUUCUUGGAUCACAAGCCUGAAUUGUUUUUCGUGUCUGCAAACUUUUUUCAAGAGAGGCAAAGGGUUUUUCUCGACAAUUAAACAUUCCUAAACAAAAUGUUAGCAGCCAAGAAGUAUUAGUAAAAACGAAGCUUAUUAAACAUAUGUUAACCAUUCCUAAACAAAUAACUACGUUGUUCCGCUGCUUAAUUUAACUCUUUUCUCUUUCAGCAACUCAACUGUGUCGUCGCAGUAAUUUUAGUUUUGACUAUAGUGUUAUUACAUUUCAUCUUGUAAACUAUUUGUCUGAAUCAAAAUAGAUCUUGUUGUAGAACCACAAUAAUAAUACUGGUUCUUAUUUUCGAAUUGGGAUUGCCUCGUAAUUGUCCUGAUACGUAAAAAUCUGGUUCUCUAAACAUCAUAGGAGGUGAACGCAAUUGCAAUUUGCAACUAGGAAUGUCAAUUGAACUUUCUGAGUUAAGUUUGAUAAGUCUCAGCUCGGCUGAUAAAUUAUACCGGUUUUCAGGUUUCAAGUUUUGGUUAUUUGAGUUGAAAUUAAAAAGUUCAAACUUAGUUCACACUAUAAUAUGAGUCUCGAGUUCAAAUCGGAUUUGAGCUAAACUCAUAUUUAAAUGCAUAUUUAUUAAUUAUAUAUAAUAUAUAUUUUAUAAUUAUGAAUUACUAUAAAUUUAUAUAUAAAUUAUUAACAUUAUAUGUUAUAAUAUGUAUAAUUAUAAAUUAUGGAUAUUAUAAAUACUAUAUAUAUAUAUAAUUAUACUCAUAUAUGGGCGGGUCUUAAUUGAAUCUGAGUCUAGUAUAACCCAACUUCGAUUCACAUUUAGUUUAUGGCUAAUAUUUAAGUUCAAACUAUGUUCGAUCCAACUAAAAUUUGUGCUUAGAAAACUUUUUUUGAGGUCAAAUGGGUUGGAUUUGGGUUAGCCCGACCCCAUUUUCAGUGUAUUCGCAAAGUUCUAUUUACACGUCAUUGGGAAUAUUACCUCCUAUUUCCAAAGGGAAUAUUACCCCCUAUUAAUGUGAAUUAUCGAUAAGGACAUCAUUAUUAUCAUGCUAGAUGAGAAUUAUGAUUCUUGAGAUGGAAUCCAGCAUGAGGUAAAUUAAUAGGAGUUUUGUGACGGCUCCGCUUCUCGCAAGGGCGAACCAGAGGGUUCAGCGGGCCGCAUGCCCGACUCUCGCCGGGACUCAGUCGUUCACUACAUUCCUCAAACAUAUUACAAGAUAAAACUUCAAAUAUUACAUCAAAUUCUCCAAUAAAUAAUUACAUAUCAAAAGCGAAGUGUCCAUGCUUCCACUGCGCCACUCUGAUCCUUGAUACCAACCAUUCACACGGAGAACUUUAAUACAAACGUUUCCUUCGCCACGAGCCCUGUGGAGGGGAAUAAAAUAUUUUUGGGGUGAGCUAGAAGCUCAGCGAGUAACCAGUAAAAUCAUUAAAUAAAUAUAUUUCACAAUGUUGCAUUUCGAUCAUUUCGAUGAUGUCAUGAUUCAGAGAUCAAAUGUUCGUUUAGUGCUCUCGUGAGCCAGGGAAAUCAUAGCACUUGAACACCCAACGCUCAAAUAGAUCAUUUAACAUUAACAUUAACAUUAGGAGGGAGCCCCUUUUUGAGCUCCGGAGCCAUUUGCUCCACCAUGUCACGAACUCACGAAAAUGGUGGAGACGUUGGUGUCCAGCACAAGACUCCCCAAGAACUCAUUAAAGCCAAAUCAUGUCAUGAAUCCACAUGCAAGCACGCAUGAGAUGCAAUCGAGUACAUAAUGCAAGAAAAAUUUCACAAGUACUUUGGAAAUAGUUUAGGGUCACUCACCUCCAUGGCUCAGGAACCAUCCAUCAUAUAACAUUGCCUUACUCAAAUCCAAGUCUUAGAUCACAAACUCAAUGCAAACAAAUCCCUUCAAAGUUCGGACAGCACUUCCCCUGAAUUUGCUAACUUUUCCAGCCAUCAUGGCUUCAUUAUUUCCUCAUCCAGUCCCAAAGGUACACACACAACAACAAGUUCAUCCAAUAGCCAUUCAGCAAGCUCCAAGUAGUACUAGUACAAGUCAAGCUAGGGAAAAGUCCGGAAAUGAAAGUUAAGCUCAAAAUCAGAAAAAUAGCUUUUGACAUCCUUUUGCGGUAAUGGCACCAAAGGUACUACGACUGUCGGAUGAAGGUGAAAGAUACACCGUUUCGAAGCUAAGAGAUAGGGCUACAAUAUUGCAGAAGGUCACUCAACCCAGUUUCGAGUGUAACCAGGUAAAAAAUGCAAGAUACUAUACCAGAAUCACAAAAACAGAUUCACAAAACGCAUUCUAGCGAAACAUCAUAAAGCAGGCUAUUCAAAUCCAAAUCCAGAAAUUCCAAAACCAGAUGAAAGAUAAGAACAGGGGUAAUUUCAUCAGAAGACCUCAACCAAUUCGGAAGGAAUUCCAGCCAAAACAACCAAUUAUAGGGGCAAUUCUUACAUUCGGGUAAAACCAGAACAGCAAUAGUAAUUUCGACUUUUCUCAUUCUACACUACUCCGAUUGACCUGAAAUUUUUCAGGCACCUCUAAAAAUAUCAUUCCCUACAACUUUCAUGUUUUAAGCCAAGGCCAAUUCGGCCUCUAACUAGGAGCUACAAAUUCGGGCAGAAUGAAGAACAUCAAACCCUAAUUUUUUCCAAUUUUCUUCCAAAACAGAAAUUGUUGCAAUUAACAACUUUUUCCACCUCAUAGAGUCCUUAAAUAUCAUUUCCAAUCAUCAUAUAUAACCACACAAUCAUAUCCAUAUGAAAACAGAAAAAUCCCCAAUAAUUAUAAAACUUCACCAAUUCAACCAAAACCAAGAUAUAAUCCAUAAAAGUGCAUCUUAUACCACCACCAAUCAUGAAUUGAACAUCAUUAGAGGAAGGAGAGGGGUCAUUCACAACUCACCUUAGCAAUACAAGAGAUAGAGCAACUAGUCACCUUAGCUUUCCAAACAACUCCACAAAACACCUCAAGACCACUUAGCAAAGAGAUUUUAUGGAAUGAUUUGGAGUUUUAUUGAUUGGAUUUGAAGAUUGAGCAAGAAAUAGAAGGAAGAAAUUGAGAGCUUUUCUUUCUUUCUUGAGCAAGAACAUUCGGCCAAGAAGCUUGCAAAAUGAAGCUUAUUUUGAUCAAAUUUUUUGUAUUUAUUUGGUAAAGGUAAAGGUAAAGUCAAAUGGUCAAAGUCCAAGAUUAAAUCACAAGGUGACACUUGUCACCUUUUUGGUUUAAAACUUAUCUUUUUGUCUCUCCAAUACAAAUAUCUUAACACUUUGUAAAAUAAUAUCACUUAAUACAAAAUUCCAACAAGUUGUCAAAAAUAUAAUGCAUUUACCGCACUUGCGGGUCCCACGUCCAAAAUACGCUUUUAAUUUCUCAAAAACUAACUGAUACUAGAAAAAUCAUUUUUAAACUAUCUUUGCUCAUAAACUUUAUCUGGGGAAUUUUUCUAAUAAAGAAAAUGUAGAAAAGGCGGGCGAUUAAAUAAAAUAAACCCUAGAAAAUUAGAAAAUUUUCGAGUUCUCACACUCAUACUUUUCGGGGCGUCACAAGUUUAGACUCUAGAGGCUUCUGUUGUUGCCAGUUGCAAUCGCACCCAGUAAUUUUUUACACUUUUCUGUAAAACCAAACAAUUUUUAACAGAUAAUCUACAUCAACUUUUGGAAUUGCCAAAACUAACCUUUGCUGUACUCGUGAUUUUUUAUAUGUUUACAAAAGCAAAUAUUUCGACACCAAUGAAGCUAGCUAAAGCAACUUUUUGAAAGCAUUUUACAAUCUAGCCUAUUGCUUCUUUUUUUUUUUUUCAAUCGUCAUCCUUACUCCUAUUCCUACUCUAUCCUAAUCUAAUUACGGGGAGAUCCAACUGGGUCUAUGGGAGACCGAUGGAGACAGAACCACCACCGAAUCAGACAGGUGCACCACGCAUCCGUUUGAAUUUUUUGAAGAACCACAAAUGUGGCAAAUCAAACCUUACCUCCCACCCCAGCAAAACUUUUAAGGUGGUGGCCAUCAGCCUAAGGCUGAUGGUUCUAGCCUAUUGCUAUUUGGAUCGGAGUUUUUGAGAGUUUUUUUAUACCCAAAAAAAAAAUGUACUAUAACUAGUAAAAAAGAUAAGUGAAGAAUAUAUGAAGAGAAUUUUUUUAAAAAAAUUUCGUGCAAAACUCGGCAAUCCAAACGGGAGCCUCUAAAACUUCCAGUACAAGUGGAGAGAAUUGAACUGAUUGUCAUGACUCAUGUGAUGGUGACAACAUCUGGAUGGAUGAUUUUCGCAAAGCUGGCCGGAAGCAGAGGUCAAAUGUGUCCGUUCCGUGCAGGCAGUAGCCACCAUUAUUAUUAAUUAAUUAAUCUUACAAAAGCCGGGGGGAGUAGUUGCGGGUCAAUUCUCUCGUCCACUUCCAGUCUUUCUCCGGUAUCCGGAGUCUGGCUAGAAUACGACUCUUUGUUCUAUCUAUAGCGUUCGUACUUUCUUAACGGUUGUGCAUAAUCUCUACGAAGAGUUCAGUGAAGACCAAUCAGUGUACAAUAAUUGUCCGUCAAAAACAGGAAAGGUUGGUCAAAAUAUACAUCGAUAAUCCAUACAUUCAUUAUACUUAGCUUAAUUACAGCUAGAUUCUUUUUUUUUUUUUUUUGCUAGAUUCAUAAACGAAUCAAAAACUUGACAAACAGUUUGGACUCAAUUUGAGUUUGACUUUUAAUAAGUUUGAAUUCGAAUCGAAUUCGAACUUUUAAAUAUUCUACUCGUAAAACUUGAAUAAUAUUUUAUAUUUUUUAGUAUUUAACAUAUUAUUAAUAUUUUAUAGAAAAUCACACAUUUAUUAGUCGGAUAAAUCUUGCAUACAUUGGCUAUGUAUAUACUAAGGCUUUUGUUUGGAUUGCAUUUUUGUAGAAAAAUUAUUGUAACGAUUUGAUAUAUGUGAGGUAAAAAGAUAAUUGAAAAAUAUGUCUACGAAAAACUUAGCAAUUUUUCAAGAAAAAUUGCAAUCCAAACACACCCAUUAUGUAAAUUAAUGUUCAAGAAUGAUUAAUCCAAACACACCCUUAUGUAAAAUUUCAAGAAAACUUGUCUUGAUACAUGCUACAUAUGUAAAAUUUAAUGUUCAAAUUUAAACUGAAAUGAUUUGGCAUGCAUCUAGACAUAUGUGCUAACGGUAUAAGAAAAAUUAAUCGUUAUUAUUUUAGUAUGUACAUAUUAUAUAUAUUAUUGAUAAUAUAAUAUUAUAAAUUAAAAAAGUUAAAUAAAAAUUCGAACUCUUGAAUCAAACUUGAGCCAUUAGAUCAUUUAAUUGAAUCGAACUUAAGCUUGAAACUUAAACUCGUAUAGGGCUUGAGCUUAAAUUCAAGUUUGGGCCCAAAAAGUAGAACCGAGCAUGACAGUUUAAAAGUUCGAGGUUUACUGCCCUAAUUACAGCAUAGUUAUGACUUAUGAGAUGAUAAAAGGGCGUGCUUGGUAGUUCAGUACUAGAGGAAUGUACAUCCAUGGCAAUGAGCCAAUAAACCAUACAGGAUCUGGAAGUCACUUUCUUCACCAGAAUCACCAGCCUUUCGAAUAUAAUUCUGGGGCUUGCACCAAUAUUGUUUUGGAAGUACAUACCUGCAAAUGAUAUCAUUCUGUCCAACAAAAUCCAGCAAGAUACCAACACGUUGUAAGUUCCCGCUUCGUGAAGAAACAAAUUUGACGCUGUUAAUAAAUCAAAGCUCGAAAUGAAAUCCAAUGGCAAACAAAGAAGAAUCUUCUUUACAAGGAGCAAUCAACAUCUUAUUCAAGAUAAAUGCCCAAUGGGCAACGCAAUACAGUGCAAUCAGCUAAUAACUUCAACAGAUUCAAAGCCCCUGUCAAUCGAUGUCUUGACUGCAUCCAAAACUAGUUGAGUCUUCCUGCUGAAGGUUGGC
Molecule: long non-coding RNA, 37159 nt
Filed under: Coffea arabica (coffee)
Lineage: Eukaryota; Viridiplantae; Streptophyta; Magnoliopsida; Gentianales; Rubiaceae
Description: long non-coding RNA (CARA_LNC007033)
Source: RNAcentral